CAGGCUUUUGCGGGCUCCUCGGGCCGAACCCGAAGGGGCUGUUCCUGAACCUUGACUUGUUAUCAUAGGGACCCAAGCUCUAUUUUUGUGUGGCCAAUUCGUGCACUGCAGCAAAAUGGCCCUUCAGUCGCGUCUUGGGGUUUCUCCUCGGUUCAAAUGCUCUCGCGCUGAGAAAAAGCCGGAGGAAAAAAAAGCGACACCCUCCCUCCCCCAUUAAUUAUUUGUGGGGCCGGAGUAACGCGGGCUGGUGCAACCGGUGCAUAUAAGGACUUGUGUGCAAGGAAGGGGAUCCGCCUCCAGGCGCGGAAAGAGUAGGGAAGAAGCGCACACGCACAGUGCACCCAGCUGGGCGCUUCGGCAGUUUGCAGCUGCGGCGGGGUCGGGUCCACCCGCGGUCCCCGGAAUGCCGGACGGCUGAUCCCGGGUGCUGGUCACUCGCCGAUUCGGGGCUGGGAAGGUUUGCCAGAAGCGGGAAAGAUGGGAGAUCUGAGCGCUCUCUUGGCAUCGCCACACCCAGGACUUGCUCGUGCCGCAAUUCCCCACGGAAACAACCGAGUUGAAACGAGAAGCUUGCUCUCUGGGUGCAGUAGCUAGAAGGCUUCAGGUAACUCCAAAGCCAACACUGGGUGAGGCAACACACGCCGCCUCAGGACUCAGCAUUUCUUUCAGGCUGCGUUUUCGUGGCAGACCUACCCAGAUUGAUGGAGAAAGUUUGGCUGGCGGAUAAGAAGUAACGCGGAAGAUGUGUACGUGAGAGCGAUUUCACUUCACUCACUUUCUCAUUUAAAGGUUGGAUGUUUUACAGUGGUAUACAUGAUUCUCCUUCUGUAAUCAAGAGUGGGAAGUCGCUUCCCCCAAUCCCCGCGCAGCCCUUCUUCUCCCGCCUUAGCCAUGCAAAAUACCUAGAAAGAAAACACUAAAACUGAACUUUUUUCCAAAUACAGCAGUAGCUUUGAAAGCAUUCUUUGCUCCUCUGUUAACAGCAGAAUGUAAUUCUGACCACUGCACUGAUGGUUUCUUAAUCAUGCAGUAUGAAGAUCAGCUUCAAAAUAAGUCUUAUGAAUGAAUGAAUGAAAGCCAGUGCAGUUAGUUCAUCAUGACUGCAGACAUUAGAGGACUUUGAAACAACCUUUGGUGUACAUUGUACUGUUUUUGUUACUGAUAUUGUAUGUAUUCAUAUGCAUUGUGGAUCAUGCACCAUGAAACUUGAAAAUUGUUCCAACAUCUCAAUGGCCACAACAGUUUGGUAGCUUUUGCCUGUAAACGUUGUAUGUAAACAUUUGAACGUGUUAUACUAAAUUACUAAACUCAUUUUUUACUAAAAUCAUCUGGUUCGACAUAGUAAGUAACGUGCAGUAAGCCACCACGUCGAAAUGAAAAAAAAAAAACAGAUUAUUUCCCAUCAUUGUCUUUGUUUUUUUCUCUUCUGUGUUCCUGUUUUUUUACCGUUCAUCUAGACAACAGGUUAAUGUAUUGUCUCAGGGUUGAAAGAAGAUAAUUUAAGAUCAAGUAUUAAGAUCUAUAAACAACUAUUUUUUUAAAACUGCAAACAUAAGGAAAUAUGAGUUAAAUAUUUUUUCCAUGGAAAGCCUUCGUUUUAUACUCAUGAUUAUAUUUGAAACAUCACAAACAGAUCAACUUUUUU
RNAcentral lists this long non-coding RNA (1645 nucleotides) under Homo sapiens (human). Its description in RNAcentral is "non-protein coding lnc-TMEM212-1:7". Lineage: Eukaryota; Metazoa; Chordata; Mammalia; Primates; Hominidae. The record is from RNAcentral.